UACACUCCUGCGGGAGGCAGCAGUGGGGAAUAUUGGACAAUGGGGGCAACCCUGAUCCAGCCAUGCCGCGUGAGUGAUGAAGGCCCUAGGGUUGUAAAGCUCUUUUGUGCGGGAAGAUAAUGACGGUACCGCAAGAAUAAGCCCCGGCUAACUUCGUGCCAGCAGCCGCGGUAAUACGAAGGGGGCUAGCGUUGCUCGGAAUCACUGGGCGUAAAGGGUGCGUAGGCGGGUCUUUAAGUCAGGGGUGAAAUCCUGGAGCUCAACUCCAGAACUGCCUUUGAUACUGAGGAUCUUGAGUCCGGAAGAGGUGAGUGGAACUGCGAGUGUAGAGGUGAAAUUCGUAGAUAUUCGCAAGAACACCAGUGGCGAAGGCGGCUCACUGGUCCGGUACUGACGCUGAGGCACGAAAGCGUGGGGAGCAAACAGGAUUAGAUACCCCUGUAGUCCC
This 448-nucleotide ribosomal RNA is filed under the name uncultured organism. RNAcentral describes it as "partial 16S ribosomal RNA". It matches the Rfam family "Bacterial small subunit ribosomal RNA", at positions 332 to 797 of the family's 1533-position model. The record is from RNAcentral.